AUGUUUCUGAUAGUUUCUGUACUCAUGUUUUUCGUUGGACUUCAUUGUAGAUUGCCAUCUCUGCUUCCAACACUGGUGGUGCUUGGGACAAUGCCAAGAAGUACAUUGAGGCGGGUGCUUCUGAGCAUGCGCGAACCCUUGGUCCCAAAGGAUCAGAUGCACACAAGGCAGCUGUUAUUGGUGACACCGUUGGAGACCCUCUGAAAGACACAUCUGGACCUUCACUCAACAUCCUCAUCAAGCUAAUGGCUGUUGAAUCACUCGUGUUUGCCCCGUUUUUCGCUACACAUGGUGGCAUCCUCUUUAAGAUAUUAUAGAUCAUUGGAUCAAAUGUGGAUGGUCUACUGGUUACCGUCUGCCGGAUCUUUGUUCCUCCCUCCACAUGUUAAAAACUAUUAUGUACUUUGUAGUUCAUGGUUGACUCUUUAAUUGGCUGCAAAUUUCCCUCCCAAGGGGUUGAUGACAAGGACGAGGACGAUGACGAUGACCACGAGGAGUCGGUGCUAGGAAGAGUUGGUAACUCGAUUUCUUUUUGGGUCUUGGUAGAUCAAUUCAUUUCUGAAUCCCUUACGUUCCUUCUCUCCUUUUGUUCUGUAAUAGAUUUUGAGUCCUGGUAGUGUAAUCUGGGUUCUUACCUAAUUGGUCUAGAUGCUACAUAUUGUUCUCUUUUUACUAAAUAUCAUAUCGAAGAACCUGAAAAACUUCAAAACU
Tripterygium wilfordii is the source of this 711-nucleotide long non-coding RNA. RefSeq lists it as uncharacterized. Lineage: Eukaryota; Viridiplantae; Streptophyta; Magnoliopsida; Celastrales; Celastraceae. The record is from RefSeq and is a predicted model, not a curated record. The transcript is spliced from 2 exons.